Molecule: ribosomal RNA, 274 nt
Filed under: uncultured bacterium
Lineage: Bacteria
Description: partial 16S ribosomal RNA
Rfam family: Bacterial small subunit ribosomal RNA
Source: RNAcentral
AUACGGAGGGUGCAAGCGUUAAUCGGAAUUACUGGGCGUAAAGCGUACGUAGGCGGUUCGUUAAGUUAGAUGUGAAAGCCCCGGGCUUAACCUGGGAACUGCAUUUAAAACUGGCGAACUAGAGUUGAGUAGAGGGGAGUGGAAUUUCAGGUGUAGCGGUGAAAUGCGUAGAGAUCUGAAGGAACACCAGUGGCGAAGGCGACUCCCUGGACUCGAACUGACGCUGAGGUACGAAAGUGUGGGUAGCAAACGGAAUUAGAAACCCUAGUAGUCC